AUUGAACGCUGGCGGCAUGCUUUACACAUGCAAGUCGAACGGUAACAGGCCGCAAGGUGCUGACGAGUGGCGAACGGGUGAGUAAUGCAUCGGAACGUGCCCAGUCGUGGGGGAUAACGCAGCGAAAGCUGUGCUAAUACCGCAUACGAUCUAUGGAUGAAAGCGGGGGACCGUAAGGCCUCGCGCGAUUGGAGCGGCAGAUGUCAGAUUAGGUAGUUGGUGGGGUAAAGGCUCACCAAGCUAACGAUCUGUAGCUGGUCUGAGAGGACGACCAGCCACACUGGGACUGAGACACGGCCCAGACUCCUACGGGAGGCCGCAGUGGGGAAUUUUGGACAAUGGGCGCAAGCCUGAUCCAGCAAUGCCGCGUGCAGGAAGAAGGCCUUCGGGUUGUAAACUGCUUUUGUACGGAACGAAAAGGUUUGGGUUAAUACCCUGGGCCGAUGACGGUACCGUAAGAAUAAGCACCGGCUAACUACGUGCCAGCCGCCGCAGUAA
RNAcentral lists this ribosomal RNA (498 nucleotides) under uncultured bacterium. RNAcentral's name for it is "partial 16S ribosomal RNA". It matches the Rfam family "Bacterial small subunit ribosomal RNA", at positions 30 to 523 of the family's 1533-position model. The record is from RNAcentral.